Long non-coding RNA from Salvelinus fontinalis (brook trout), 3930 nucleotides. RefSeq lists it as uncharacterized. Lineage: Eukaryota; Metazoa; Chordata; Actinopteri; Salmoniformes; Salmonidae. The record is from RefSeq and is a predicted model, not a curated record. The transcript has 2 exons.
GCACAGAUGCGUUUGACUCUUGGCCAUCGCCAUCUGCGCACGUUCAACAUAGCCUAGAUGUACGUUUUUAUUACUUCUAAACAAAAUAACGUUUUGGGGUUCUCAUACGGAACUACACCUUGUACCACACAGGACUGUUCUGCUAGCAGAGACAGGAAUAUGUUCUGCGAUUCAUCGAAUGGCAUUGAGGAGCAAACCACCUUAGUCAUCGGCUUUAUCAAUAGUUCGGAUUCUCGACUACGUCGUUCCCACAGUGACCGUACUGUGGGAGCGAUAUCCCAUUCAGAAUCCAUGAAUUACAGGCAGCAUCUGCAUCGAGCUAAAGGCUAGAGCUAACGCUUUCAAGGAGCGGGACACAAAUCCGGACGCUUAUAAAAAAUGUCGCUAUGCUCUCAGACGAACAAAGAUCAAAGAUCAAAAGAAAGAAAGAAAAAAAAAAGAUCAAACAAACAAAGUGUCAAUAGGGGAUUAAGAUUGAAUCCUACUACACCGGCUCUGGCGCUCAUCUGAUGUGUCAGAGCUUGAAAACUAUUACGGACUACAAAGGGAAUCCCAUAUGCGAGCUGCCCAGUGACGCGAGCCUACCAGACGAGCUAAAUGCCUUUUAUGCUUGCUUCGAGGCAAGCAACACUGUGUGACAAAGCUCUCGGUAGCCAAUGUGAUCAAGACCUUUAUACAGGUCAACAUUCACAAAGCUACAGGGCCAGGUGGAUUACCAGGAUGGUCAAUAUGGCCAAACAGUUCUAUUUUUGUUUCAUCAGACCAGAGGACAUUUCUCCAAAAAAGUACACUCUUUGUCCCCAUAUGCAGUUGCAAACUGUAGUCUGGCUUUUUUAUGGCGGUUUUGGAGCAGUGGCUUCUUCCUAGCUGAGCAGCCUUUCAGGUUAUGUUGACAUAGGACUCGUUUUACUGUGGAUAUAGAUACUUUUGUACCCGUUUCCUCCAGCAUCUUCACAAGGUCCUUUGCUAUUGUUCUGGGAUUGAUUUGCACUUUUCGCACCAAAGUACGUUCAUCUCUAGGAGACAGAACGGGUCUCCUUCCUGAGCGGUAUGACGGCUGCGUGGUCCCAUGGUGUUUAUACUGCGUACUAUUGUUUGUAUAGAUGAACGUGGUACCUUCAGGCGUUUGGAAAUUGCUCCCAAGGAUGAACCAGACUUGUGGAGGUCUACAAUGUUUUUUCUGAGGUCUUGGCUGAUGUCUUUUGAUUUUCCCAUGAUGUCAAGCAAAGAGGCACUGAGUUUUAAGGUUGGCCUUGAAAUACAUGCACAGGUACACCUCCAAUUGACUCAUGAUGUCAAUUGGCCUAUCAGAAGCUUCUAAAGCCAUGACAUCAUUUUCUGGAAUUUCCAAGCUGUUUAAAGGCACAGUCAACUUAGUGUAUGUAAACUUCUGACCCACUGAAAUUGUGAUACAGUGAAUUAUAAGUGAAAUAAUCUGUAUGUCAACAAUUGUUGGAAAAAUUACUUGUGUCAUGCACAAAGUAGAUGUCGUAACCGACCUGCCAAAACUAUAGUUUGUUAACAAGAAAUUUGUGGAGUGGUUGAAAAACGAGUUUUACUGACUCCAACCUAAGUGUAUGUAAACUUAUGACUUCAACUGUUUGUGAGAAUGCUGUUCAAUGACUACAGCUCAGCAUUCAACACCACAGUUCUCACAAAGCUCAUCACUAAGCUAAGGACCCUGGGACUUAACACUUCCUUCUGCAACUGGAUCCUGGACUUCCUGACGAACCCCCCCCCCCAGGUGGUAAGAGUAGGCAACAACACGUCUGCCUUGCUGAUCCUCAACACGGGGGCCCUUCAGGGUUGUGUACUUAGUCCCAUCCUGUACUCCCUGUUCACCCAUGACUGCGUGGCCAAAUACGACUCCAACACCAUCAUGAAGUUUGCUGACGACACAACAUUGGUAGGCCUGAUCACCGACAACGAUGAGACAGCCUAUAGGGAGGAGGUCAGAAACCUGGAAGUGUGAUGCCAGGACAACAACCUCUCCCUCCAUGUGAGCAAGACAAAGGAGCUGAUCGUGGACUACAGGAAAAGGUGGGCCGAAAAAAAAAAAAAAAAAAAUGCACACAGGAGGAACUCAAAAUCCCAAAACACCUCACGGCCAUCGGAAAAAAAUAACAUGUUAAAUUAAGUGCUUAAUAAAAUAGAGUAAGUAGUAUUAUAUAACACACACAGGACUCACAUUUAAUUUAAUCAUUCUGAGCAGCACAUCUGUCCAGGGAGGAGACAUCAGUUGAACGGUUUUAAACGUGGCAGUAUUUUAGUCCUCGUCAUGUCUGUCUCGGAUAGGGCUGUAGUGGAACGGGUUGAGAGUUUCAAGUUCCUUGGUGUCCACAUCACCAACAAACUAACAUGGUCCAAACACACCAAGACAGUUGUGAAGAGGGCACGAAAACAGCUUUUCCCCCUCAGGAGACUGAAAAUAUUUGGCAUUGGUCCCCAGAUCCUCAAAAAGGUCUACAGCUACACCAUCGAGAGCAUCCUGACUAGUUGCAUCACUGCCUGGUAUGGCAACUGCUCGACAUCUGACCGUAAGGUGCUACAGAGGGUAGUUCGGACUGCCCGGGACGUCACUGGGGCCAAGCUUCCUGCCAUCCAGGACAUAGGCGGUGUCAGAGGAAAGCCCAAAAAAUUGUCAGACUCCAGUCACCCAAGUCAUAGACUGUUUUCUCUGCUACCACACGGCAGGAGGUAACGGAGCGCCAAGUCUAGGACCAAAACGCUCCUUAACAGCUUCUACCCUCAAGCCAUAAGACUGCUGAACAAUUAAUCAAAUGGCCACCAGACUAUUUUAAAUUGACCCCCCCCCCCCCAGUUGUUUUGUACACUGCUGCUACUUACUGUUUAUUAGUUAAUUCACCCCUACCUACAUUUACAAAUUACCUCGACUAACAGGUACCCCCGCACAUUGACUUGUCCUCCACCAAUUGCGUCCACCAAUUUACACAGAUCGCCCUUGUUUGGCAAUGUUUGUAAAUACAGAAAGGGGUCUAUUGAAAAACUCUUUACAGUCGUGUUUCCGUUUGUCACACAGUUGUAGCUUUUCAUGGUGGUAGCAUUUCUAACACAGCAAGUGCAGGUCCAGGGUCAGUUUAUUCUGAUGGGGUUAUUGGGUUAUCCUACCAAAGUACCUGAAGCAAACAAAAAUGACUUGAUCAGCCCAAUGGGGCACAAUUACCGUUGCAGUAUACAAUGAUAACCACUAGAGUGAACUGUUACUCCACUUCAAUCAUCCCAGUAUUAGCAGAAGAAAAACAUUUUAAAAAGACUGACCAGGUGAAAGCUAUGAUCCCUUAUUGAUGUUACUUGUUAAAUCCACUUCAAUCAGUAUAGAUAAAGGGGAGGAGACAAGUUAAAGAAGGAUUUUUAGCCUUGACAAUUGAGACAUGUAUUGUGUAUGUGUGCCUUUCAAAGGGUGAAUGGGCAAGACAAAAGUGCUUUUGAACGGGGUAUGGUAGUAGGUGCCAGGCACACUGGUCAAGAAUACACUGUUUUCCGUGUGUAUCAAGACAGGUCCACCACCCAGAAGACAUCCAGCCAACUUGACACAACUGUGGGAAGCAUUGGAGUCAAUAUGGGCCAGCAUCCCUGUGGAACGCUUUCGACACCUUGUAGAGUACAUGCCCCCAACGAAUUGAGGCUGUUCUGAGAGGGGGCUUCCAAGUCAAUAUUAGGAAUGUGUUCCUAAUGUCUGGUACACUCAGUGUAUACCACUAGUUAGGGGGGAAAAACACUGCAAUUAGGAUACCUACUCCAUUGAGUUACAUUUGGAUGUGUCAGCAGGCUAAUUUAAGCACUAUUAUGAAAGGAUGGUGGGAAAAUGUCCCUAUAAUAGCAUUACACAAACCCCAGUAUUGGAAAUGGAUGCUCUUAUCUGGCUUUUGAUGAUGAUUGAAUAAAAGACAGAUGUGAGGGAUGAAUGGA